Molecule: long non-coding RNA, 1574 nt
Filed under: Spirodela polyrhiza (greater duckweed)
Lineage: Eukaryota; Viridiplantae; Streptophyta; Magnoliopsida; Alismatales; Araceae
Description: long non-coding RNA (SPOL_LNC000671)
Source: RNAcentral
ACAGUGAUAGGCAGCCAGCUGGGCAGGUACUUCUUUUCAAAAGAGCUGAAUUAUUGCUCGUUAAGAAGUCUCCACAUGGACUCUAAUCGCCAGUAGGCGCUCUUCUUGCUGAAGGCUGUACCUGGGAUCGUGUUGGGCCUCUCUCUCUCUCUGGCCGUGGGUUCUUGGCAAUUUCUCAAACCGAUAGUUUUUAAUAUCGCCAGAGAGUGACAGUCUCCGUUCCAUAAUCUGUAGUGAUUCCCACAAAUGAUUGGGAGAUGUCGCAGUUAAUAAUUGCUCGACCGUAGCCAGGCAUUGGCGUGCUCCAGUGAUUUGCAAUAUAAUACUCGCUCGCGCCCGCGCAUAUGUAGAGAGGGAUGGGAACCAGUGGAGAAAAUGUGCUCCAGUGAUUUGCCAUGUUGGGGUGUAGUUUACAAGAUUUGGAUCUGCUAUGGAAGAGAAGAAUAGUCCGAAGGACGUGUUCUUGGUGUCCCAUAUGACGCUCUAGUCUAGUCUUCUGGAUGAAUAUAUUUCUGCGUGCAGAGAUCUCUGGGUCAAAAACCUACGAUUUUUAUGAUCUAAAAGUAAAUAAGAAGAUUAUCAACCUACGAAUGGCAUCCAAAUGAAGCUCACAUCCUUCUUGACAUGCCAGGAGAGAAGAUGCGGCUCAUACUUUAAUGUCUCAGGGAGCAAUGGUUUUCACCAAGCUUAAUCACAGCCUCAGAUGGGCUUUCUAGCAAGGUUCAUGCGACACGGCGCGCAUGACUGCGCAUAUAAAUGUGAGAUCAAUAUAUGCAUGCAUCACAAUAGAUUUUUCCGACAAGAUGUACGUAACAGAGGAAAUCAGAGCUUGGAUCAUCAAGAGAGACCCUAUCAAAGCAAGAUCACCUUGAGAUAGGUCGUGAGAAUAACGUCCACGGGUCCGAGGGCGAUUUAAAGGCUUUAAUACGAGCUCAAGUGAAGCCAAGCCCCAUCGUCCGUCCGUGUGUGUGUGUGUGUGCGCGCGCGCGUGUGUGUGAUUGUGUGAUACAGAGAAAUUAGCACAGGUAUGUGAUUCUGAGGACAGAGAAAGGUUGUAUAAACUUGAAUGAACCCCAAUCAAAGCCCGUAUCUUUCUCGACGAGGACCAAACCGACUUGGGGCCUUCAUUUGCACCGCGCGUUGCCUAGCACGCUACGCACGCUAUCGCCCCUAAUCAGCGAGGUUGAAAACGUCCUCCGUUUGUUGUCCGGGUGAAUGAUAGGCUAUUGCCUCCAUGGUGAGCUUCCAAUUGCGCCGACGACUACCCGAUAAGGACAGCGGCUUCUCCAUUGGGUCGUCCUCCUCGCCGGAGGGGGUGGGCCGGGCUUCCGUCGACUGCCUGGCGAGGGAAUUUAAUGGCGGAGUAGGAGAUUGGUGGGUAAGAUGAGCCCAAUCCCCGCCCUACGCGACAAGCUAGUGUGAGAGAAUGAGAUGGGGACAGGAAGAGUCUGGACAGAGGGAAAGGGAAUGGAGAAUGGAGCUUGAUUAGAUGGGCACGAUUGGACUAAUGGCGUGCUGGAAAAGAAAGAUAAGAGUGAAAAGAAGCUAGAGCACCUCCGUUCGCGUUCACGAAC